Molecule: ribosomal RNA, 276 nt
Filed under: uncultured bacterium
Lineage: Bacteria
Description: partial 16S ribosomal RNA
Rfam family: Bacterial small subunit ribosomal RNA
Source: RNAcentral
GAGAUUGGGAGAGGGAUGCGGAAUUCCAGGUGUAGCGGUGAAAUGCGUAGAUAUCUGGAGGAACACCGGUGGCGAAGGCGGCAUCCUGGACCAAUUACUGACGCUGAGUGAGCGAAAGCCAGGGGAGCAAACGGGAUUAGAUACCCCGGUAGUCCUGGCCCUAAACGAUGAAUGCUUGGUGUGGCGGGUAUCGAUCCCUGCCGUGCCGAAGCUAACGCAUUAAGCAUUCCGCCUGGGGAGUACGGUCGCAAGGCUGAAACUCAAAUGAAUUGACGG